AUUAAUCGGGGUGGGAUGGGGGGGAGGGGUUGGGAAUAAGAGCAGGACAUGAUUACUGUAAAGUUUUGGACAUUGAUCAUCUAGGGUAAUUAAUGCUUUGAUAUCAAUGUUAUAUUAAUGUUGUUGGCAUUAAAUCCACAUUUAUCUUUGCUGUUGAAUUAUUGUUAGUAACACAAAUGUCUUGUAUAAGUUGAUGACACUUUAUGUUGCCACUCCAAGUGCCCUGGGUUUGCUCUCUCUCUCUCUCUCUCUCUCUCUCUCUCUCUCUCUCUCUCUCUCUCUCUCUCUCUUUACACAAAACAGGCUAAUGGCUGCAGUCUGGUGCAUAAUGACAUUCUAAUCACAGCACUUUUGGGGAACACAAUAUGUCUGCUAUUCAAGUGAUUAAAGUUGUGAGAACCCUGUUGUUAGGCAGCUGAUGAAAAUGGCUAACUAAUGACAAUUUACCUAGUUAGCACAUAGUCUUUACCAUAGGCUUGUUUGUAAUUUUUAAAAACAGACUACAUAUGACUAAGAUUAGACUGUAUCAAACAUUAGAUGUAGACAUACAGAAGUAGAAUACCACAAGUGCACUGUGUGUGUGUGUGUGUGUGUGUGUGUGUGUGUGUGUGUGUGUAUGCGCGUGCGUGUGUGUAUAAUCUUCUCAUAAUAGUGAAAAUGGUGUAGGGAACAUAGGAGUUGCAGCAUAGUGUUACAUCAUUUUAUCCGUAUUAGAAUUAUAAGUAGGUUAUAUUAAUAAAUAAUUGAUCAACGCUUGGUGAUAUUACAGAGAAUGAGAGGCCAUGUUGUUUUUGAGGCUUUUGUUUCUUUCCAGUCCUACAACACAGAAAAUCAUUUAGUGUUAGCAUGCAAAUUUUUCCUUCUCCUUGUUUUGGGAUUUUUGCUCCAUUUCCCCAAACUAUUUACUCUCAGUUCAAGAUUUAAGAUUCAAUUCCUAGCCACUAACAAGUUCUCCCAUAUAAAAUGACAGCUACCAGCCUGGGAGGGCAAAGGUUAACACAUGCUUCCUCUGCGACAUACUAUGUUAUCUACACAUAGGCUAAUAAUGGCUUGUAAAACUGUAAAGUUACUGUGUUAACUGUGUAAUGUCUGUCUGACUGAUAGGGGUUUUGAUAGUAAUGCAAAACAGUGUAUAUAAAUAACUUAAUCUGCUUAUUCAUAGACCCUGACUUAUUUGUACUAGCAUAAGGCUAAGUUUUGAUGAUGGCUGCAAAGCACUUCUAGAAGUCCCUCUAGAUAAGAGUCUCUGCUAAUGCCAUAAAUGUAAAUAUAUCCUAUUUAUGUCCUUUUGGACUCAAUUCAAAAUCAAAAUUCCAUGAUGGCUGAUAAACACUUAUAACCAUUGCACCACUUGCGAGUGCUAUUCAAUCCAAAUGUUAACACAGCAACCACAUGCAUUUUCCACAAAACAGUGAUGUAGCUGUUGUACUUACGAGUAUUGUCCCAUCCUCCUGACCACCACGACUAUCACUGCAAUGAUGAUGACCACAGCGACCAGUGCACCAAACACAAUGCCCACCACUUGACCCGUGCUCAUACCUACAGAGAGAAAGAAAGAGAGAGAGAGAUGUACACUUAAUAACUAAUGUUUACAUGUGUAUAUGAGAUUACAAAACACAUUUGUAACUUCGCUCAGGAUACUAGUAUCUGCCAAAUGUUGUAAAUGUAAGUCUGUGUGAGUAUCUCACCCUCUGAGUCCUCCACUUCCACCUCAUCCCCCUCUGUUUCGAUCACUUGGUCUGCCUCUGCGUUUAAUACUGUCUCUGUGAUUGACAGCCCUGUUUUUGGAGCUUCAGUUUCAUCUGCUACCUCAAUAACUUCAGGUGUAGCUUCUGUAGCUGCAGCAUCCUCUGCCUCCACAGUUGUUUCGGUGUUUUUGGCAGGAGCUUCCGUAACUCCUUCUGUUGUUUCUGCUUGCGCCGUCUGAGCUGUAGUAUGAACUGAUGGUGCCUCUGUUUCCUUCACAGGAACUUCAGUAUGAACUGAUGGUGUCUCUGCUUCCACCACAGGAACUUUAGUAUGAGCUGAUGGUGUCUCUGCUUCCACUACAGGAACUUUAGUAUGAGCAGAUGGUGUCUCUGCUUCCACCACAGCAGCUUCAGUAGCAGCUGGUGCUGGUGCUUCAGUGACAGGUUCCUCCACCUCCUUUAAUGUCUCUGCAGCCUCAGUGGGCCCAAAGGCCCCUGUCACUUGUGCCAGCACCACGUCUGUGGGUACCACAAUAGUACCUGUGUGAAAGCCAACCAAUGUAGAAAUGUUAUGGCUUAAACAGCGUUAUAACAAAUUUGGUAUGAGGUUUACUUAAUGCCAUUCAAAUGUUUUUAUGAUUAGAUCUUCUAGGGGAAAUUAAUUAAGAGUAUGCAUAGUGGUUAAAGUGUGAAAAUGGUUCUUUUUUCUUUUUUCUUUCUUUCACUGUUUUAAAUGUGAGGCUUAGAAUUGACACUUGACUGGCAAGUGUUACUGCAUCAUUAUAUAUAAUAACCUAUCAUGUUUCAGUACGCAAACAAAGGCCAAGAAACUCUACAUUACCAUAAAAAGGGGUGAAUACAUAUUAUCGGUGUUUUCAAUUUGCAUAUUAGUCUAGAUUUUCAGUACUUAGUACUUUUAUAAUCAACUAUAGAUCUUGUUUCUGUCUGCUUCUCAAACGCUCUUGCUUUGGUAGUUGGAGUGGUAGACUGAGGAGUCAAAAUUUUCUGAAACAAACUGUCUCUGUUAAAAUGACACAAAAUACAGACACACACACAAAAUAUCCUAUCCACACCUCCAAGGCAAGGCCCCUCCUAAACCCCACCCUGAAGAGCUCAUAUCCCGCCUGCGUCAUCACUCAUUCCAAACACGUCGGCUCACUUCCUUUAGAUGCAGCUGGAAAGAAGCACAAGAUCCUUGGGAGGAAAUAAGUUCAGUUUUAUCAUUAAAACUUCGUACUCUUUAAAACUGAACUGGACUGCAAUUGUCUUUUCAGUAUCUUUUACUAGCGCAGAUGUUCUUAGCGUUAAAAAAAAAAAAAGCCAGCUGGAGCCCAUAUGGGUGAGGGAACCACCCUUUACAAUAACAUCCCUGAUCACCAGAGAACAAUGCUAUAACCUACAAGCAGAGAAUUUUUACCACAAAGUUUCAGAGCAGUACGAGCUACACUUUGUGAAAGUAAUCAAUGUGUAAAUAAUAGCAUAAUGAUUGUACAUCUCAAAUUGUGUGUGUUACUGCUUUGGGCUGACGGACACUUUUGUGUCUACAAAUCUGUGAACAUGUAUUAUGCGCAUAAGUUUACCAGCAUACUUGCAUUGACACUUGAAUAAGUGCACUGGGGUUAGUUUCAUGUGAACUUAGUCAGAACUUACAGAAAACAAAAAAACAAAGAAGGUUAUUUGUGAUAACAUUACACUGAAUGUUGUCACACAUUGACUUUUUCAUGUUAUUUAACUAAGAAAAAAACAUAUAAUCAUAACUGAUUCAACUUUUUUGACAUACGUUCAACAAACUAAUAGGUUAUAAACAGUUUUUCAAAAUUAAUGAUGUGUUGUCCUUAAAUAAAAAACAAAUGCUUAUCACAUUGCCACACAUACCACUUAUGGGUGAUAACAGUAACUCCCCUUCACUUCACAUUGGGUCGCACUGCACCAGCCCAAUUCUGAAUAUUUUCCAAUAACACCACACCUCGUCAUGCUUUAUAGCUCAUAAUACAUUUCAUCUCUUCUGACAACUAAUCCUCAAGCUGCUGUAUAUUCAGUCCCUCAAGGAUUUCAUGAUUUUGCAAAAUAUUAAAUAAACGCCGCAAUAUUCUGAGGAAAUUUCUUUAAUUGUUUAAUUUAGAUUUUCUGCAGAUUUGGUUGCAUCAUGUGACGCCAUCACAACACGCAUUCAGCCAAAGCCCUCUUCAAGUUGUAUGUUGAACAUGAGUUCAGCUAAAAGGUCUAAUUUACCAACAAACAUCACUGCGAAAGACGUAAAUUCAAGUAGUUUUCCGCAAAAAAAAUCCCCGCACACAAAAAACUGCACAAGUUGCAUGCAAAUUUUGAAGGAGAAAAUAAAGCCUAGCAAAAUCAAUCCCAAAAAUCCUGAACGGACUGACUUUUGCUUUAGUACAAGUUCCAGUUCUGGUCUGUUAAGUAUACCAUUUAAGAAGUUCCCACUCAACCAAUCAGAAUUUGCUAGACACACAACAUAACAGAUGUGCACACAUUGCAUAUUGAUGAUGUGUGAUGCCUACUCAUGCCCCUACAGUCUUUGUAAUAACUCAAACUAACAUAUAACCAGCCCAUAUGCUUUCACUGAUGUUUACAACACAUACAGUAUUUCUAGUCCUGCCAUGCCAAGAUGGUACAAAGAUGCUCCAAUGAGUAUGAUUAAUAAAUCCUCAUCCAAAGCAAUACUUCUCUUUGUAGAUAGUAAGUUUAAUUGUGUUGCCCUGUCACUGGGGAAACCCAGAACUGCAGAAAGAUGUUUUUACACUGGCCUUUCCCCUUUUAUUACUUUCACAUGACAAACGAACAAGAGAUGUCGUGCUGUUCUGAUGACAUUACAGAUAACUCAUUCAUUUGGCACAGGAUUGUCAUACAUUGCAAUCGGUCGGCAUAUAUUCGAUUUGAUUUAAGAUCAAAAACUUCAAUGGGCACGUUUUUAGCUUUGGAUGAAGUAAUAAAUAGACAAAAUUAAAAGUAAGUCGAGAUAGAAUUUUGAGAUUUUUCUGUGGCCUCCUUGGAGGCAAUCUAAAGUCUUUCCCAAUGGUUCCCUGAUGUGCCGAGCUAACACCUGGAAUCGUCUCUAGUACAUAAACUGCAUCUGAAUCAGUCCUAAUCAAUCAAUCUAACAACGGGUAACAUUCCAAUAACCAAAUGUAUCACUACAGAAUGACGCUUCGAAUACACCAAACUAUUUUUAUGCAAUAUUGCAAUGCUCCUCCGAUGAAUACUGUAGUUGGUUAGAAUAGUAGGUUGUAAUUUUAGAUUUUUAUAGCCUUUUACAGUAAACGUGGGUCUUUUUUUAGUCUCAGAUAAUAGAGCAUAGUAAACUGAACGCACGAAACCGACUUCAACGUCAGACUGCUCUAGGACAUGAUGUCAUUUUGUUCUUUCUCCCUUCCCUUUUUUUUAACGGUCUUCCAUUGUGUUGCCAUGGCUUUUGGCCCGGAGAGGGCAUUUGUGCUAUCUUUAUCACUGCAGGCCACGCAUGCUAUAAGGCAUUUAGUCAAAAUCACCAUUAGCAGCAGACUGGUACAAAAACACACACAGACAUGGCUAGGAGGGGGUGGUCCCUGAGAAGAGAACUUUGUGUCCUGUUUGUUCACAGAGAGAGAGAGAGAGAGAGAGAGAGAGAGGGGAUGAUGGAAGAGUUGUGUGUGUGUGUGUGUGUGUGUGUGUGUGUGUGUGUGUGUGUGUGUGUGUGCUUUAUGCCUUACAGACAUUGUUAACAAUUGCCUCAUUAUGUUGUGGACUCCAACAAUUAGCCUUAAGUAUGGUCUCCUUCCCCUGCAACAACUUCUACACACACAGGAGUGUUCUCUUGCUCUCGUCCAUGCUUUUGCAGUUGAGUCUAGCUGAGGAUACUUGUGCCUCAUCUUUUUGUGUUUUUUUUCUAUCAAGACUUUAAAAAAAAAAAAAAAAAAAAAAAAAAAACACCCAUCAGCUUUGGGCAAAUUUCAACAAAUUGUCAAUGUGUGUUUUCUGUGUGUGUGUUAAUUGAUUGAAAAACCAAAACAAUUUCUGCACUUUGGUCAAUGAGCAUUGAAUCUAAAUGUGCUGUAUAAUUAAAAUGUACUGUACUACUCCCCCUACUCCCCCUACUCCCCUACACACACACACACACACACACACACACACAGCACAUGAGCUCUUACACGCAGAUUUGGUGAGUUGGGUUCUAGGCGUGGCAGCACAGCUGCAGGACAUGGAUAGCAGAAGCAGCUUUAGGAGUAUGAGUGGUUAGAAGCAGAGACACAGAGGAGACAGAGUAGCACUGGUGCACGAGGCAGGCAGGGUGUAGAAAUAGCAGGGCUGUGUAACAGAGUUAACAGGGUAUAGGGUUCCUUUAUGGCCUCAAGCCACAGGAUAUUAUCUGCCAUCGGGUGUACGGGAUAAUGGAGAGUGUGUGGGUGUGUGUGGGUGUGUGUGAUUGAAAAUCAUCAUGCCCAACCUACAAAAUGAGUAACUAUGACCAAGACUGAAAAUUUCUCUAAAGCUAAAAGAAAAAGUACCAUAAAAGGGAAAAGAAAGACUGCGCAGAGGGGUGGGAUGGAGCGGGAUCAAGCAGGAGAGAGAGAGAGAGAGAGAGAGAGACUGACCUAGAGACAGAGAAAGAGAGAGCGAGAGACAGAGACACCAUCACAUCCAUCACCAUAUCACAAUCAGCUUCCACUGCACAUUAUGAUGAUUGGGGAGCAUGGGGGGUGUUAGGUGAGGGGGAUGAAGAUGUUGUCGUUUCAAUCAGAGCUGUGUGCACGAGGGGAGUGUGAAACUGGAAUGUUCUUGGUGCUGAGGAGGCACAGAAACUCUCAUAACAUUGUACAUACUCCUACACACACAUUAGAGUAUUAGAGUAGAGCCAGCCAAAAGAUGAUACAGUGGUGUGAAUGUUGUUCUUAUCACACAAGUCUUCCUUCAUUCCUACAUGUCCAGAGAGAGACUGGUGCAAUGACGAGUCAUCUAAAUGUUAUUACAUAUGCAGAUCUAUGGAUGUGUUAAUAGGUUCAGCCACUUUCUGCUCUAUAUACACGGCCCCAAAGAGUUUAGACUAUAGUAGGAGAGAGAGAGAGAGAGAGAGAGAGAGAGAGAGAGAGAGAGAGAGAGAGAGAGAGAGAGAGAGAGAGAUCUGCCACUGUCACUGGCAUUUUCCUGAAAAAUGUACAACUCAACUCCAGUUAUAAAAGUAUUUGAAUGACAGGCAUCCUCCAAAAUAUACCACAUGUAUGCUAUCAUUCAAGUCUCUCGUCUAGCAUCCUGGUUGCCACUUUGACAGCUACAAACAUAGACUCAGGCUUGAAAAUAUGUCUCAGGAUAAGGUUAGGAAUAGGGAUUGACUUAGUGUUUCUAUCUUUUCUUACAACUUGUCUUGAAAUCCAACCACAUUGCUUUCAUCUGUUCAAAUUUGUCUGAAUUUCUCAUGAGAUCAGGAAACAAGUUCAUGGCUACAUAUAUUUGUUAUAUACAACACUAGACAGUUUUUUUGAUCACGUACUCAUCUGAAUGUACAGUACUGUGCAAAAGUUUUAGGCAGCCAAUUUUUUUAGUACAAACUUUGUUAUAGAUUUUUUUACAUGCUCAACAAAACUUACCAGCUUAUUUCCUUAUAAAACUGCACAAAUUGUACCAGAGACUACUAUUUUUAUUUAAAAGAUUUUGUCACACCAAAGAUUGAUUUUGUUUCAUUUACUACGGCUUACUGCUCUUUACGGUAUUUUUUUAAAUGUAGAAAUAUUUAAUUUCAUUAUUUUGAAGCCCUCUUUGCUCUGCAGCAUUUCUUUGCAUGUUCCUAAAACUUUUGCACAGUACUGUACUUUUUUUUUUAACCAAACACAUGUCCAAACACACGUCACUGGGGUGGAACCCUCAGAGGUAUGCUUCGUAGUUUUAGUUGUGGGACAACACUGAGGUGCAUAAUUGUUUCCGAGAACAUUUACACUGUAUGUUAGAGAAUAUUUAAAUGUACCUGUACAGCAUAUUGUUUUUCUGACAGUGAAAAAACAUGAUCAUUCGUGAAAGUAGACAUAGUGCCUCAUGGUUGGAACAAAUAUCAGUGCACACGCCUGUGCUAAAUAUUCAUUGCUAAAGGCUUAAUAUUAAUGAUCAGUAACCACAGUUAUUAUACGUAUACACGUUAACAGUCUAGAACACGUUUUUACUUAUUUAAUGACGUUUUAUUUACUAAAUUAAAAAGCUAUGCCUUUUUUUGUCUAACACAGCUUUCAAAAAUCUCGAAUUAUCUGUAAAAUAUCUAUUACAUAUCCACUAAAGAUAAUAUUAUUAGCAUUAAUCACAGAUCAUUGUUUCUUCUCACAUUAUAAAACUUUAAUAAAUAUAAAUGGAAUCGUCAUAAUGUUACGGUUGAUCACCGUUAAUGGAUUUAUUACCACUUUUAUGGGGGUUAGUUACAGAUAAGUACAAGUGACUCAUUGCCAGGUCUGACAGCUUUGUUUAACACACCUCCUUAAGUGUCAUGCAGUUGAAAUGAGGGGAGAAGCGGAGUGUGUUGCAAGACAGCUUUUUAGCUAGAGUUUGUUUAUCAUGCCGGGUUCGUAGGAUUGUAACAGGCACUUGACGUGUCACUAAAGGUUGCAUUUUAAAAAUAACACGUACACACAAGACCCUGCGGGGGUGAAAGCUUGAUACCCCGCCAAAGAUGGUGACAUGUAGGAGUGGAGUGUGCAAGAGACGUAAGGCGGGGGUACCCGCCCUGAAUGGGCAUAAUUUGAGUCUCUCUCUCUCUCUCGCUCUCUCUCACUCUCACUCUCACGCUUCAUAGCUUGAGACGAAAAGUCUAACCAGCCUGUUGACUGAACACCAAAUGCUAUUCUUAAAUAUAGGGCCAGAUCUAUUUAUAUGCUCACAUGACCCUGCCCAGGCUGAGAGAAAAGAAAGAGAGAUCUCCCUGUAAAAACUGAGCCAAGACACAUGGCACCAUUACAUCAUAUUCUUAAAAGUGCCUCAAAUGAGAGAGAGAGAGAGAGAGAGAGAGAGAGAGAGAGAGAGAGAGAGAGAGAGAGUGUGUGUGUGUGUGUGUGUGUGUGUGUGUGUGAGUGAGAGAGAGAGAGAGAGAUUGAGAGAGAGAGAGUUUAACAGUACAUGACAUAAUCUGUGGCUGUACCACAUCUACCAAGUU
Long non-coding RNA from Ictalurus punctatus (channel catfish), 8811 nucleotides. The record is from Ensembl. NCBI's taxonomy places the organism in Eukaryota, Metazoa, Chordata, Actinopteri, Siluriformes, Ictaluridae.